RNAcentral lists this ribosomal RNA (443 nucleotides) under uncultured bacterium. RNAcentral describes it as "bacterial SSU rRNA". It matches the Rfam family "Bacterial small subunit ribosomal RNA", at positions 958 to 1401 of the family's 1533-position model. The record is from RNAcentral.
AACGCGAAGAACCUUACCUGGGUUUGACAUGCAGAGGAAACUUUGGUGAAAGCCAGAGCCUCCCGCAAGGGACUUCUGCGCAGGUGGUGCAUGGCUGUCGUCAGCUCGUGCCGUGAGAUGUUGGGUUAAGUCCCGCAACGAGCGCAACCCUCGCCCUUAGUUGCCAUCAUUCAGUUGGGCCCUCUAAGGGGACUGCCGGUGAUAAGCCGCGAGGAAGGUGGGGAUGACGUCAAGUCCUCAUGGCCCUUACGGGCUGGGCUACACACGUGCUACAAUGGCGGUGACAGUGGGACGCAAUGGGGCAACCCUGCGCAAAUCUCAAAAAGCCGUCUCAGUUCGGAUUGCACUCUGCAACUCGAGUGCAUGAAGUUGGAAUCGCUAGUAAUCGCAGAUCAGCACGCUGCGGUGAAUACGUUCCCGGGCCUUGUACACACCGCUACAGU